Non-coding RNA from Mycena epipterygia, 91 nucleotides. The record is from the annotation of a GenBank genome assembly. Lineage: Eukaryota; Fungi; Basidiomycota; Agaricomycetes; Agaricales; Mycenaceae.
UCGGACGUGGUGUAUGGAACACCGCGGGGCUCUCUUAUCCAGUUAAAUAUGCAUGCUCCCGCAGCCCGGGGUUCGACUCCCCGCGUCCGAA